GCAAACUUGGUCAUUUAGAGGAAGUAAAAGUCGUAACAAGGUUUCCGUAGGUGAACCUGCGGAAGGAUCAUUACUGAAGAAAUGAUAGGGUUUGAGCUGGCUCUGCGGAGUAUGUGCUUGCACUAUCGCUUUUUCUAUUCUCCCUUGUGAACCCUUUGUAGACUUUUUUAUGAUAUUGACUUCUCUAUUAGUUUAGAAGGUCACUUGACACUCGCAUCUCUGAUGCUUGAUUCUACUCUUAUCAUAUUAGUCUAUGAUUUUUUUACAUAUCUACUCUUCAGUUGAUGAAUGUCUCUUUUUGUUGGUUUUGAAUACCAAUAAAUUUGUUUGUACAACUUUCAGCAACGGAUCUCUUGGCUCUCGCAUCGAUGAAGAACGCAGC
Molecule: unclassified non-coding RNA, 382 nt
Filed under: uncultured fungus
Lineage: Eukaryota; Fungi
Description: partial contains small subunit ribosomal RNA, internal transcribed spacer 1, and 5.8S ribosomal RNA
Rfam family: Eukaryotic small subunit ribosomal RNA (bases 1-73)
Source: RNAcentral